This 281-nucleotide ribosomal RNA is filed under the name uncultured marine eukaryote. RNAcentral's name for it is "partial 18S ribosomal RNA". It matches the Rfam family "Eukaryotic small subunit ribosomal RNA", at positions 611 to 891 of the family's 1831-position model. The record is from RNAcentral.
UGUUGCAGUUAAAAAGCUCGCAGUUGGAUUUCUGCGGGGGCGGGGCGGCCGAACGCUUAUAGCGUUUCGAGCUAGCACUUCCCCUGCAUCCUGCCGCGAACCGUGCUACCAUUAGUUUGGUGGCGCCGGGGAUCGGUUCGUUUACUUUGAGAAAAAUAGAGUGUUCAAAGCAGGCCACACGCCUUGAAUAAGUUAGCAUGGAAUAAUGAUAAAGGACUUCGGUUCUAUUUUGUUGGUGUUCGGGACUGAAAGUAAUGAUUGAUAGGGACAGUUGGGGCGGU